AUAGUCCACAUGCAUGAGAUUUUUUCUUCGUUAUGUAUUAAAAAACGUACAUGUAGUUAGUAUACGCGUUAGUUAUCGCGGCGCAUUGACGUUGAUUUCGACGUAAAAUAGUCGAUGGAUUGGAAUGAAAUCCAUGGAAACGUGAUCCUUGUCCUAAUGGUGAGCAAAUAUUUGCAGAUAACGAUAACAGGGCGCCGUGUAAAACCAGAUUUUCAUGGCGAAAUGAAAAAUAUCAGAAACUAGACAAAAUUUACCAACACCAACGUAGGAGAAACAAACGUCUCGUCACGAGCCCUUCAUUAAUCACUUGUCCGAUAUUAUAUUAUAAGUAAGGUGCACGAUCGCACGUGCCCACAAGUUCUGCUUUUAUUUUUACUCGGAAAGAUAAGAACAAGUGUUAGGCUUUUUCCGAGACCAAGAGUCGUCUUUUAAAUUAUCAAUUGUGAAAUACGUGUUUUUUCCUUGAAAUAAAAGUUGAAAAUUUU
This is a long non-coding RNA of Vespa mandarinia (Asian giant hornet), 485 nucleotides long. The record is from RefSeq and is a predicted model, not a curated record. NCBI's taxonomy places the organism in Eukaryota, Metazoa, Arthropoda, Insecta, Hymenoptera, Vespidae.